AUGAGCUUUCGAAAGUGCAAGGAACCGUGUACCAGGUUCAUCACUAAGGGAGACACUCACGAAAGGUGCGUAGUCUGUUUGGGAUUACAUCACGCGCAGUCUGCGCUUAGUGGCCUUUCCUCUUGUCCCCACUGUGAUGGCCUGCGACUUAAAGUACUGCGCUCGAGGGUAGAAGUGUUUUCCAAGGUCGCCCCCGCGUCUAACCCCCGCCGUGUCGCUUCUGCGGCUGCCGAGGCACCGCACGAGGCGAUGGCUUGGGGAGACAUGUGCGACCUCACUUACGACGACAGCGCGGCGCUGGAGUUUUCUCCACAUCGCUCGCUCUCCCCUACCCGAGUGCAGGAUGCCACCUUCGUCGAACCCGUUGUGUUCUCGGACGGGGGUUUACAGCCCACCCCGGAGGCAUACGAUGCUAUCUCCUUCGGUUGUGGGCAGUUCGACGACGACGUCUUAUCCACCGCGGCUUCGGAGUCUGAGGACUUCGUGGCAGAUACGGACAGCCCUCUCCCUCCUAGCGGACAGGAGAAGCGCGUCUCUCCCUCCUACAGCGAGCUGUUGGAUGUGGUCUCUCGUGCGGUGGGUAAGCUGGGACUGGACUGGGAGGUUGAGAAGGCCGAGGCCCAACCUUCAUCUAAGCUGGACGACCGUUUUUUGACUAGUCGUGCUCCCGCGCAGCCCCGUAGGCCCCUGCCUUUUUUCCCGGACCUCCACCAGGAGGUUUCGAGGUCCUGGAAGCAGCCCUACUCGGCGCGCAUCACGAACGCUGCGGCUGCGGAUUUCGCCACCAUUUCAGAUAUGGCGAACCGUGGCUAUACAGCGAUGCCUCCGGUUGAGGAGACUCUCGCCGAACAUCUGGCGCCUAAUUCGGCCACGGCAUGGAAGUCUCGCCCCCUCCUUCCUUCGAAGGCGUGUCGAGUCACGUCUAGCCUCGUCGGGAAAUCUUACAUGGCUGCUGGCCAGGCGGCCGCAUCGCUCCACUCUAUGGCGGUCCUCCAGGCCUACCAAGCGGAGCUUUUAAAGGAUCUCGACGAGGGGGAGGGCAUCACACCCGAGGCUGUGAAAGAGCUGCGUCGGGCAACGGAUUUGGCGCUACCAAACAUACUGCUCGGGCAGUGGGCCGUUCCAUGGCUGGUUUGA
Long non-coding RNA from Cyprinus carpio (common carp), 1137 nucleotides. The record is from Ensembl. Lineage: Eukaryota; Metazoa; Chordata; Actinopteri; Cypriniformes; Cyprinidae.